AUGCUGGCUUCCUGGUAUGAACUCGGCUGUUCUCAUCAUUGUGGGCAGCUUGGGAUCUCAUUGUCGCUGAGGAUGGCUGUGGUACUUUUCCGGAGAGUGCUGCUCCUUAUUUCCAGUGUUUCUUUUGGGCUCCAGUGCAGAACCCUCAACCUACUGGCACGGAUCCUUCAUCCUCCAGGCAUAGACUUUCUAGCUUCCACUGCUGACCUUUGGGCCUUCCCGGCACCGAUCAGUGAAACAGACUUGCAUGAGCCAUUGUCAUGGGCUCUGGGUUUUCAGCUGAACUCAUGCAGAUUAUUGCCAUGGGGUCCUGGCCUUCAGGUGGAUUUUCUAGGUCUUCAGUGUUGUGGGCAGAUUUCCUGCACCUUCUUUGUAUUUGACUUCUUGGGUGACAAUGUUAACGGGAAGAGGACCAAGAGAUGGACUGAGGGAGGAAGGAGAGACGGAAGGGGAUGUUAAAAAAACUUUAGAUAUGUUCUGUAUGUGUACUGAUUCUCCAUGAUGAAUAUAAUCUUUAUGUACUGCGAACAUGGACUAAUAAAAAUUUUUAAAAGAUUGCUAUCUCCAUUUUGCCACAGAAAGUCAAGCAUAUCUACAAUUUUUAACAGAAGCAACCCUUCAAACUUCUAUUUCAUGUCCUUUUGCAACAGACAUUUGGCACAGUGACAUAGUUUUAUCACCC
This 682-nucleotide long non-coding RNA is filed under the name Cavia porcellus (domestic guinea pig). Its description in RNAcentral is "lncRNA (ENSCPOG00000033156.1)". Lineage: Eukaryota; Metazoa; Chordata; Mammalia; Rodentia; Caviidae. The record is from RNAcentral.